This 204-nucleotide unclassified non-coding RNA is filed under the name air metagenome. RNAcentral's name for it is "partial contains small subunit ribosomal RNA and internal transcribed spacer 1". The stretch from base 1 to 46 matches the Rfam family "Eukaryotic small subunit ribosomal RNA", at positions 1786 to 1831 of the family's 1831-position model. The record is from RNAcentral.
AAGUCGUAACAAGGUCUCCGUUGGUGAACCAGCGGAGGGAUCAUUAAAAAGGGUCCAUAGACACCUUAAACCUACCGUGCUCCCAUCGUGGAAACAAGAAUCAUGAAAGCCCCCCGUGGCAGAAGUCAUCUGAGAACAGAAACGCGCCCCGGCGCGGCAAACAAAACAAAAUCACAACCCAUAACAAUGGAUCUCUUGGCUCUG